ACGAGUGGCGGACGGGUGAGUAAUGUCUGGGAAACUGCCUGAUGGAGGGGGGAUAACUACUGGAAACGGUAGCUAAUACCGCAUAAUGUCGCAAGACCAAAGAGGGGGACCUUCGGGCCUCUUGCCAUCGGAUGUGCCCAGAUGGGAUUAGCUAGUAGGUGGGGUAACGGCUCACCUAGGCGACGAUCCCUAGCUGGUCUGAGAGGGUGAACGGCCACAUUGGGACUGAGACACGGCCCAAACUCCUACGGGAGGCAGCAUG
Molecule: ribosomal RNA, 262 nt
Filed under: uncultured bacterium
Lineage: Bacteria
Description: partial 16S ribosomal RNA
Rfam family: Bacterial small subunit ribosomal RNA
Source: RNAcentral